Molecule: ribosomal RNA, 468 nt
Filed under: uncultured bacterium
Lineage: Bacteria
Description: partial 16S ribosomal RNA
Rfam family: Bacterial small subunit ribosomal RNA
Source: RNAcentral
GACGAACGCUGGCGGCGUGCUUAACACAUGCAAGUCGAACGGAAAGGCCCUGCUUUUGUGGGGUGCUCGAGUGGCGAACGGGUGAGUAACACGUGAGUAACCUGCCCUUGACUUUGGGAUAACUUCAGGAAACUGGGGCUAAUACCGGAUAGGAGCUCCUGCUGCAUGGUGGGGGUUGGAAAGUUUCGGCGGUUGGGGAUGGACUCGCGGCUUAUCAGCUUGUUGGUGGGGUAGUGGCUUACCAAGGCUUUGACGGGUAGCCGGCCUGAGGGGGUGACCGGCCACAGUGGGACUGAGAUACGGCCCAGACUCCUACGGGAGGCAGCAGUGGGGAAUAUUGCACAAUGGGCGGAAGCCUGAUGCAGCAACGCCGCGUGCGGGAUGACGGCCUUCGGGUUGUAAACCGCUUUCGCCUGUGACGAAGCGUGAGUGACGGUAAUGGGUAAAGAAGCACCGGCUAACUACGUG